GCGCCCUUAGCUCAGCUGGAUAGAGCACCAGACUACGAAUCUGGGGGUCAGAGGUUCGAAUCCUUUAGGGCGCGCCA
Molecule: transfer RNA, 77 nt
Filed under: Hyphomicrobiales bacterium
Lineage: Bacteria; Pseudomonadati; Pseudomonadota; Alphaproteobacteria; Hyphomicrobiales
Also listed under: 3 other names
Description: tRNA-Arg
Rfam family: tRNA
About the family: Transfer RNA (tRNA) molecules are approximately 80 nucleotides in length.
Source: RNAcentral